GUCAGCAUGGCCUUUAUGCCUGGGGCUACACACGUGCUACAAUGACCGGUACAAAAGGGUUGCAAUCCCGUAAGGGGGAGCCAAUCUCAAAAAACCGGCCUCAGUUCAGAUUGAGGUCUGCAACUCGACCUCAUGAAGGUGGAAUCGCUAGUAAUCGCGGAUCAGCACGCCGCGGUGAAUACGUCCCCGCCCCUUGUACACACCGCCCGUCACACCACGAAAGUCAGUUGUACCAGAAGUCACUGGCGCCAACCCGUAAGGGAGGCAGGUGCCCAAGGUAUGGUUGGUAAUUGGGGUGAAGUCGUAACAAGGUAAA
Molecule: ribosomal RNA, 316 nt
Filed under: uncultured bacterium
Lineage: Bacteria
Description: bacterial SSU rRNA
Rfam family: Bacterial small subunit ribosomal RNA
Source: RNAcentral